This is a long non-coding RNA of Sardina pilchardus (European sardine), 843 nucleotides long. RefSeq lists it as uncharacterized. The record is from RefSeq and is a predicted model, not a curated record. The transcript is spliced from 4 exons. NCBI's taxonomy places the organism in Eukaryota, Metazoa, Chordata, Actinopteri, Clupeiformes, Clupeidae.
AUUUUGGCGGAUGUAAAUUAAUACACUUUGACAUCAGACGACUAGUUUGCAAGGACUGCUGCGCACCUGGAUGUAGACAACAACAACAACAUCAAGAUCCAUCAGCAGCAGCCUUCAAAGGUGCAACGGACCAGAUGGCGCUGUGACAUUCAUUUUCAGUUCUGUGCAAGGAACCACCAUCAUGCCAUGGACGAUGCUGAUGUCAACAGCAGACGAACAAUUAUUCUGCAGGCCCUUCUAAUCUUCCUGCAGGAUGACCUGGAAUGUAGAAGAAAUUGACCUGCCUGACCUCUCGGAUGCAGCUGUACCUAUUCCUAUUGUUCCUGUCUCAAGUGAUACGGACUCCCUUGUGAAGUUUGCUCAUGCUAUCCAUUCUAUAGUUCUUGAGGGAGCUAUUGAGUGUGAUAUAACAGAGUUGACAGAUGCGUUAAUUUUACUGUUUGCCUUAAUUUAUGCACUUCAUGUCGAUUAUCCAAAGCAAUUGUCUUACGCAUUUAAUUUCAUUCAAAAAUGAUAAUAGGUUUGGAUGACCUGAAGUCGUUACCUCCUAGACUACUUAGCCUUAAAAAUGAAUUGCUGAUGAUGGAUGCAGUCUGUUUUCCAAAUCUCAUUGUUGGUAGUGCCAGCAUUUUAAUACUCAAGCAAGCAAUGAAGUGAAGUUUUUUAUUUAUUUAUUUUUUAUUAUUUAUGUUGGCCUUAUUAUUUUUGUUAUUUGAGUAUUUGUACCUUUGUUGACGAAAUGGUUGUUAUUUCUUUGAUUUUUUUGUAUUAACCCCAUUGCUGGGGAGGUUGUUCUGUUAGAAUUCAAAUGGAAUUCUUAAAUAAAUGGAAUGUGCAGUGAAA